Mesocricetus auratus (golden hamster) is the source of this 879-nucleotide long non-coding RNA. RefSeq lists it as uncharacterized. Lineage: Eukaryota; Metazoa; Chordata; Mammalia; Rodentia; Cricetidae. The transcript is spliced from 3 exons. The record is from RefSeq and is a predicted model, not a curated record.
GCUCUAUUUGUCUUGGUCUUUACAGAUAACAUUCAAGUCCUCCGAAUGGUGCUUCAGCAGGACCCAAUCCUCCUGCAGUUUCCUUUUCUCCUGCUUCAGCAUGUCCACCUUCUUGUGCACCUGAGUCUCUUCCAUCAGGAGCCAGCUGUGUAGACCUCUGGAGACACACUCUGCAUUGUAAGGCCCUGCAGCCUCCCUCUGCCACCCCUGCCUCCAGUAACCACCACCCCAAAUGGCCUCAUGUUUCCAGAAAGACACAGCCAAGAGUCUGAUUCAGAUGUGACGACUGAACUCAGGAGGCCAAAAUGAGGAAAAAGAUACUACCAGAAGGGAGAGUCACCAGAAGAUUGGCAGCCUAUGAUCACUGAAGCUGCCUAUUCUCAGCAAGUCCAACAAGGAGUCCUGUGCCAGGGGGUCACAUCAAACACAAGGGACCCAGACAGCAAGGCUGCAGCCGGAAGCCAAAGGAUGGCAUGUUCAGUGCAGAGACAUAGCUGCUUCCCCUGCCCCCACUGGAUCUCCUGGAACUUUGCAAAUCAGAUAAGCCACAGGAAAUGGAACUAACCCCCUCAAGUCUAUACAGAGCACCACUCCCAUCACAAUGAGAUUCACGACUGUGAAGUUUCAUGGACCCAUCAUCCUGCUUGAACUGCAGCUUUGAGUAGAGCAGCAGGGUUUGUUUGCCAAUUGAUACUCACAAGAGAGUGACUCCACAGAACUACUGAUGCAUGGACACAGAAAUGAACAGAUGGAUGUCAUUAAAGCAGAGGAUGGUGAGUGUGUGUGUGUGUGUGUGUGUGUGUGUGUAAAGUUCUAAGAUAAACCACAAUUGUGUUGAUGGACAGACAGCCUUAUGCUCCAUGAAGAAAUAAAGAUGGA